UCAACUUCACAUAAUGUGAGGUUAAAUUCACAACUUCUUUUUCUAGGGUACACGUCAUUUUUUUUCACAGCUACUCAUCAUAUGUUGAAGAGAUAAAGACGCAUGAGUAGGAAAAUUAACUAAAGACCAAAGAGGUUAAAAUAAUCCCAUUGCCAUCAUUGGGGCACUUGAGAAUGUCUUGUCUCUAUCAUUUCUCUCCUUUAUUCAUCUUAUGUUAUCCGUAUCAUGAGAAGAUCAAAAGAGAAAGACUAACUCACUCUUUCCUACUAAAAAAAAUCUUAUCAAUAUAUCUACAUUGAGAAGAUUUUCACUAACUAGAAAUUCCUAUGGCUACUGAGGUUAAAAUAAUCUCACUGCCAUCAUUGGGGCACUCGAGAAGGUAUGGUUUUAAUAUGUUUGAGCGAAAUAUUAUAUGUUUGGGUGGCUUUUUCUUCAUCUGAGAAGGUGUGGGUAAAAAUCCAAAACCAAAAUAUGAUUACUAUCGUGGCUACACUAUACUCAGGGCCGCUCACCUGCGGGACACUCUUUAAGGGACAAAACGGGACAAAUCAGCCACAACCGUUGGAUGUUAAAUGAAUAAAUCCUACGGAUCUGUUUCAUCCUAAUUCUUAUCCCAACUCCCACUGUUCAUCUUCUUCUCCUCUCACGGCUCUCUAAGCCAUGCCCAGAUUUGUUCAUCUUCUUCUCCUCUCAUAUCUAAGCCAUGCCCAGAUUGUUUUCAACUUUUCAUCUUCUGCUCCUCUCAUAUCUUUAUCUGCCUUUCCAUUUUUUUUACCCAUUUCUUAGGUAAAGUCUCCCAACUAUAUUUGAAAAUGAUGAAAUGGGUACGACCUGUGAGAGUUUAUGCAGAUGGGAUAUAUGAUCUCUUUCACUUCGGACAUGCCCGUUCUCUCGAGCAAGCCAAGAAAUCUUAGCUGCUGGAUGUUGAGGUCUUGAAUGCGAUAUUGAAUUGCAUUUGUCUUGGAAUAUGAAUUUUGGGCCAAAAAGUUUCAUCAUUUUCAAAUAUAGUUGGGAGACUUUACCUAAGAAAUGGGUAAAAAAAAUGGAAAGGCAGAUAAAGAUAUGAGAGGAGCAGAAGAUGAAAAGUUGAAAACAAUCUGGGCAUGGCUUAGAUAUGAGAGGAGAAGAAGAUGAACAAAUCUGGGCAUGGCUUAGAGAGCCGUGAGAGGAGAAGAAGAUGAACAGUGGGAGUUGGGAUAAGAAUUAGGAUGAAACAGAUCCGUAGGAUUUAUUCAUUUAACAUCCAACGGUUGUGGCUGAUUUGUCCCGUUUUGUCUCUUAAAGAGUGUCCCGCAGGUGAGCGGCCGUGACACUAUACUUAUGCGGGUUUCUGUUUCAUUUGUUUGGUAUCUGUCAACGUUAUGCACAAGAUUAAUUCAAGAAACAAAUAUCUACAAGA
Rosa rugosa (rugosa rose) is the source of this 1399-nucleotide long non-coding RNA. RefSeq lists it as uncharacterized. The record is from RefSeq and is a predicted model, not a curated record. The transcript is spliced from 2 exons. NCBI's taxonomy places the organism in Eukaryota, Viridiplantae, Streptophyta, Magnoliopsida, Rosales, Rosaceae.